This is a long non-coding RNA of Canis lupus familiaris (dog), 4365 nucleotides long. RefSeq lists it as uncharacterized. The record is from RefSeq and is a predicted model, not a curated record. The transcript has 3 exons. Lineage: Eukaryota; Metazoa; Chordata; Mammalia; Carnivora; Canidae.
CGUGGGGUUCCAUCUCAUGACCUGAGCUAAAGGGAAAUGCUUAACCGACUGAGCCACCCAGUGGUCUGAACCAAACCCAUGAUAUGGCCAAGAUAUUCUGUAUAAAGAAAACCUGCUCUUCCUAUUCAGAUCACCUGUGAAGCUGAUGCCAUAGAGAAGCUAUUCGGGCCUCCCAGAAACCCUGAGACAUAAAGUCAGAAGUGCCUAAAGGGACCUGCUGGAAGAAGUCUCCCCUCCAUCCCCAUCAAACUAAGCAAUUUAUCUUAUACAGAAGUGUUCUAGAGAGAGGAUAAGGAGUCCCCACAUAGAGAGACAACUUGAAGCACUGUUGAUCACCCAUAUGGCUGUCAAAGUAAAAGAUAACCCAGAUAGAUUCAUGCUUCCCAUGUGAAGCCAGCUCCUCAGGAGGACUAGACUGGCUGCCACAAGAGCUUUGAAACUUAAAUUUUCCUGAGUGACUGAUAUUGGUACUGAACUCAGCUGAAAGGAGGAAUUCUAGUGAACGCAAUACAAUUCUCAGACUGCCUUGUUGUUUUGUUCACAGUAGUAGGUAUUUCAGUUACUAUAAGAAAUACAUUUUACUAGAAAACAAACAUGUUAUUUGUUACAUUACUUUUUCUUUCUGUACUCCCAAUGAUGGUUCCUAAAGCUCUAAAUUUUACUCCCAGUAUGGAUACAGCCUGGGCUUGUAAAUCCAACAAUCCGAUUGUUGGCAGAAUAAAAAUAAGACCAUCUUCAUUACUAAGUUGUUUUUAUAAUAUUAGAUUAAACAAAUAUGCAUCAUACUCGGGCCCCAAAUUUGACACAACAAAAUGUUUUGUUGACUUGUUUGAUUAGAAGGGUGGUAUAGAAAAGGAUCUGAUUAAUAGAAAAACAGAAAUCUGGCAUUCAUGGAUAGAAACUACAGAAUGUUGUGCCCAAGAUUGCAAAUCCGAGAAACCACCAAGGAGCCGACACCGAUGUAAUCACACGAGGGUUUAAUCACAAGCUCGAGCGUGGGUCCAAGUGUACCCGGCACAGCAGAGCAGAGACUUGGACCCCGAGACUAAGAAGUAUAGUAGUGUUAUAGGGGUCCGUGGCCAAUGAGAUUGUAACAUACAUAGAAAGUUGCACAGUCAUGUCGGUCCACACACAGGUGGCCAAUUGAAUUCUGAUUCACCCUAUAGUGACCAUUUGAACUAGCCUAUUAUUCUGGUUAGAAUUGGCACGCAGGUUUGGUGGGCAAAAGAGGGGUUUUCAUUCCUUGGCGGUUAAAGGUCAGAGGUCCUGCAUUCCUGUGUGUGCUAGUUUCUGAUAAGGGUGUGCUUAAUAGCUAAACUAGGGUGAGGGAGUGCCUUAAACAAUAGGCAGGUCGUGUGGGGGGUUUUACAUGAGAUGGCGGGUGUAGCACAAAAUGGAGUUAGUUCUGCUCUGCUUGUCCAGGGGUAGGGGAUUUUUGUUAGAUUUCCUGGGUCCCACACAGAAGAUAGGUCCUAUGUCACUGUUAACCACUUUGGGAUACAAGUUUUUUCCAGUCCUAGAAAGAUAAACUUGCCUGUUGGAUUACAAUAAUUACUUAAAUAUUCAGAGAUGACUACAGAUUUGGAUGGAGGUGAAAAAUGGCCCAUAGGUUGGAUUUGUCCUCAGACUUAAAAUGAGAGCCAUGUACACUAAAUUCUGGAAGUUGAAGGGGAGCAGAAUCUGCUAACCCAAAAUAUGCCUCUUUCAUAUAAGGGUUGUCUUUAACUAGUUAGUUUUAAGAAAUAACAGACAUAGGAGAAGCUCUAAAAACCAGAAGUUACUGUUUUGUACAAAACGCUUAAAUAUAUAAGAGAAAUCUCCAUUUGUAAGGCUGUCUCCCUCUCUGUACCAGGAGGAAGAUGAUGACUAAAUCUCUAAAAACCUUGUAUCAGGGGAGAAGGUAGUGACUGAAAUCUGCAUAACAACCAUACUCUCAUUUACUGUGCUUUUCCAUGAUAACUGGUUCCUCCCCCCUCACCCCACAACAUUUUCUUUUUUUUUUUUUUUGUUUUGUUUUGUUUUGUUUUGUUUUGUUUUUUCCCACAACAUUUUCUUUUGCCUUUAGCUGGAGAUAGUAUAUAAAAUGAUGGCGUGGGCCAUUUCAGAGUUACUCAGUUCUGGGUAUCUCCCAUGUGUAUAAGAGGUAUAUGUAUUAUUAAACUUCUGUUUGUUUUUCUCUUGUUAAUCUGUCUUUUAUUACAGGAAGGUCUUAGCCAAGAACCUAUAAAGGUAAAGGAAAAAUUAUUUUUUCCUUCUGUACACACUUCAAUCUGUACCCCUGCAAUGAGUGCCUUAUAGUAGGACUUUGAUACUAGAUAACGGCCAUGAAUGUCUUUGUUUUACAUCUGGGAAAAUUAUUUGGGCAGAAGGAAUAGUUACUGAAGGGUCUAGUUUGUCCUUUAAUUGUAAUGUUACUUCUAUGAUGAAAAGGCAGGAGAAAUUUAUUUUAACAAAAAAUUUAGUUAAAAACUUAGAUUAUCAAGUUCCAGAGUUAAACUACUCAUUAGGCUUGGAUUGGAUGUGAUAUUGUAAAAAAUCACAAAUUAAGACGUUAGUUAGUUUUUUUCAAGUAGUUAAUUAUUUGAAAGUACAAACAAGACGUCACAACAGUUUGUAAAAAUUAAUGACAAAGGAGAACAUUUGUGUACUUUUGUAUUAACCAAGAAUCUGCUUUAAUCAUUCACCAAUGGUAUAAUAUACUGAAACGUUUUUCCCAAGGCAAAUACUAUACUAAUUUUUAAAACCCAUCCUACUGUAAUUCUGAUAACUGCUUUGUUGUGCAUUUUACUAUGGACUGGCUAGAUAUUUAGACUGUUGUUAGAGAAAGGUAGAAAUAGCUAUGUAGAUAAUUACAAAACUGUAGAUUUACUAAAAAGUAGAAACACAGAGAGGAAAUUAUAAGAUUAAAUACACAUGUAAAAAAAUUUAAAAUUUUUCCUAAUGUAAAAAAAGAACUUUUCUCCCUCUUCUUUUAGCAUUUCCUUCAAAAAAACUAGAAAUUAUAAAUGCCAUCUCUGCCUCUUUGAGAUAUAUGUAAAUCGAUUUAAAUAGUAAAUAAGCUUCCUGCCAGUUAUGUAUCCCAGAAAUACCAUUCUUGGGGGCCAAGGAGCCAUCUUUUUUUUUUUUUCCAAGAAGCCAUCUUUUUGAAAAAUGAACUUCAAGAAGGGCAGUGCCCUGUUUCUCUGUGACAAUUCAACUCCAAGAUGUAACUUCCUGCAUGUCAAAAGAUAUGAGAAAUUGUAUUUUUAUUUUGGUUAAAGACAAUUAACAUGUAUAUAAGGGAUUGUAUCUGCCCUGGUUAUGUAAAUAAAGUAAGAUUUCUUUUUUGUCUCUAUAAUCUCUUUAGGAGAUUACCUGUGAUGCAUCACAGUCUUUUUAAUCCUUAUUUAAUAAUAACACUGUUUCAUUAUUUCAACAUUUUGUGGAGAGAUUUCACUGCAUUGGCAGGAGAUUUUAUGUUUAAUUAUAUUUCCUCAACAUGAGUCACCUAUCUUGGGACCAAAGUCCUUCCUUGAAUCUCUAGCCCAGGGGCAAACACCUUGCAAAACUGAUCUCUAGGACUCCUCUAUUGUAGACUGCUCCAUGGCUGCCUAGAUUUUUUUUAGCUCUCUUAACCAAACUCUUAGUUAACUAAUGAGGUUAAGUGAAGCUCUCAGUCCUCUACAAAACAUAAUAAUGCCUAUAGAAUGCUUAGUGCUCAUAGCACAUAGACAAUGCUGCAGUAUUCACUCAUACAUUGAGUUUCUACUAGUUGAAUCAUAUGCUGAAGAGUCAACUACUUCAGUUCCUGACUCUGUUGUAUACCACUUGUACUUAGCAUAUGUAUUCUUUGGUGUCUGGUUUCCUUUGUUCAAUGUAAUGUUUUGAACUUAACUCAUGCUGGUGCAUGUAUCAGUUUGUUCCUUUUAUUAUGAGAGUUCCAUUUUAUUAAUAUACCACAAUGUUUUUCCAUUUAAAUGUUGAUAUACAUUUUGGUUGAUUUCCAGUAUGGGACUUUAUUUUAUUUUAUUUUAUUUUUUUAACUUAGAAAUUUAUUCUGUUUAAUCCACAAGCUUUAUAUAAGUUUAGUUUAAAAACAAAAACAAACAAACAAAAAAAGAGACAAAAACAGUGAAAACAAGACACUAUUUCAAAGUCUGGGCCCUUCCAGCCUUCCAAAUACGAGAGCUCUGAAAGUUGUAUAUACCAAUUGGAAGAACAAGACAAAAUUAUGAAUGGAGCCAUGACAUUUCAUAAAACAAACUUUUAUAUAACUGAAGGAUCCUUCCUGGGACUAGUUAAUUGCCUUUACAAAAAAAAAAAAAAAAACACAACAGAAUAGAAUGAAUUAGUAAGGGACUUUAAUAAAUAAAACUACUACAAACA